CUUGCCGCGAUCAGUGCGUGUGGAGUUGCUUCCCCCAGCUGCUAGCUCUCGCGGGCUUUCAGAGGCCAGAUCUGCAGUUUGUGCAUUGCAAGACCUCCGAGGAAGGUAGAGUAUACGGCAUCGUGGAGCGAGGAGUCACUGGGCUUAGUUUUUUGUUUUUGUAAACAUUUAUUUAUUUGAAAGGCAGAGUAAUAGGGAGAGAGAGAGGUCUUCCAUUGCUGGUUCACUCCCUGAAUGGCCCCUAAGGCCAGGGCUGGGUCAGACUGAAGCCAGGAGUUUCUUCCAGGUCUCCCAGCUGGGUGCAGGGGCCUAAACUCCUGGGCCGACCUCCACUGCCUUCCCAGGCGCGUUAGCAGGGAGCUGGAUUGGAAGUGGAGCAGCUGGGACUCGAACCUGUGCUGGCAUGGGCUGGGCAUCACAAGCAGAAACUCAGUCCCAGCGCCAGCCCUGGAUGUGGGAGUUUGGUCACUGAGUGUUGGCCUCUCAGGUCAGCCUGCACGGCUCUUGGAGCCCCAGCUUGCAGCUUGUUUGCGUGUUUGUUUCGGGCCCACCAACUGCAGUUACUCCGUUCGUCAGCCACCCUUGUAGUGUGGUGGACUGUCCUCAGAUUGCACGGCGUCCCAGGCUAGCGCCGAGAGGACGUCAGACGGGACAGCUCCCCGGGGCGGGGACUCUGGCUGCUUUUCUGUUCACAGCCGUGCUCAGCGCCUGGGCCUCACUCAGUAAAUAUUUGCUGAAGAGUGUGUCAAAAUGCCAGGUGCGUGCCCUGCUGCCGGCAGGUCGGGGCGGCGGCUCAGCCUGCCAGGGACAGCGCCCGUGGCCUGGCUGGCCCGUCCAGAUGGGGCUUCCGGGGGCCGUCAGGGAGCCAGCGCCUGCCUGAGCGCUGCAGAGACUCUGUGUUCCACCCGAGGAGGCAGAGCACGAGUGCACAGCCCUGGCGCCCAGUGCUGCCUGAUGCACGGUGCAGAGCGAGAGCUGAGCCCCUCUCCACCCGCCCUGCAGCUCCUGGACCUGCCUGGUGGACCUGGAAGGGCUGAACAUGCGCCACCUGUGGAGGCCGGGGGUCAAGGCCCUGCUGCGGAUCAUCGAGGUGGUGGAGGCCAACUACCCCGAGACGCUGGGCCGGCUGCUCAUUCUCCGCGCACCCAGGGUCUUCCCUGUCCUCUGGACGCUGGUGGGUCACCACGCUGUCAGCCAGGGUCUUCCCUGUCCUCUGGACGCUGGUGGGGUCUCCUGCUGUCAGCCAGGGUCUUCCCUGUCCUCUGGACGCUGGUGGGUCACACGCUGUCAGCCGGGUCUU
RNAcentral lists this long non-coding RNA (1300 nucleotides) under Oryctolagus cuniculus (rabbit). Its description in RNAcentral is "lncRNA (ENSOCUG00000032968.1)". The record is from RNAcentral. Lineage: Eukaryota; Metazoa; Chordata; Mammalia; Lagomorpha; Leporidae.